AUGCUCUCUUCAGCAGCACAUAUACUAAAAUUAGAACGACACAGACACAUGGCUCCUGCGCAAGGAUGACACACAUAUUCGUGAAGCAUUCCAUAUUUUA
This 100-nucleotide small nuclear RNA is filed under the name Otolemur garnettii (small-eared galago). The record is from RNAcentral. Lineage: Eukaryota; Metazoa; Chordata; Mammalia; Primates; Galagidae.